ACUCGCGUGUGUCCGAAGCAUUUUGGCGGGAUUAGGGGAGUUUGAGGACAAGUUGCUCUGCUCUAAAGCCCUAAAAAUAUGGAGUCGCAAUCCUUCUGUCGUAGGGCUUCCCCCUCGACAUUGAUCGCUUUCAUCAACUGGAAACCGAGUUCGAGAGAGGAGGCAAGGAGUACGGCUUCAAUUUUCGCCGAAAUGUUUAUAGGAUUUACCACUUGACAAAAGCUGCGCAUUUUAUAGAGAGGCUGAUGUUCCAAAUGAGAGGGCUUCCCACCACUCCAGACUUAAGUCCUAUGGGUGAUUUAAGCACAAGUGCGGCGAUGAUGAGAAUACAGACUCUGGUUUAAUUGAAACUGAGAUUGUUUCUGUGAGUAUUUCUCAAGCACUUUUGAGCCGUUUGUGGGAAUACUUGGAUGAAUCUAUUUCCUGAGUGUUUCUUUCAAAUGCAAUAAACCAGCCCAUGACAUUCUUGUCUGUCUCCGAUAAAAACUUUCUAUGCAUUUUAUAAGACGAGCAUCCAAAAUCCUUCUGUUUGGAGUUAUUUUUCGUACGAAGUUAUUUUAAAUCAAAAGUGGAGUAGUGGAGUUUGAAUAUUUAACCAUCUAGUCAUGUGCAGGUUCGUUCUUUAUCAAGUUUCAAGUACCUUGAUUUGGUGAUGUUACUUGGAAACAGAGCGUGUACACAGUUCUUCUGCCUGUUCCCAACUGCUGAACCUUUAUUUGUUAAUAAAGCUUGUCGUGGCUAUGCCCAUCCAACUCACAAUGUGUAUGUAUAAUAAAUUUAGUAUUGUUUAUGAGAGGAAUUCAAUUUAACCCUAUAUUUAUUCCAUCUAUUCCUUUCUUAGUACCA
Molecule: long non-coding RNA, 846 nt
Organism: Cucurbita pepo subsp. pepo (vegetable marrow)
Lineage: Eukaryota; Viridiplantae; Streptophyta; Magnoliopsida; Cucurbitales; Cucurbitaceae
Source: RefSeq, a predicted model, not a curated record